Lagenorhynchus albirostris (white-beaked dolphin) is the source of this 2263-nucleotide RNA transcript. It is a transcript of the gene named NADH:ubiquinone oxidoreductase complex assembly factor 7, with no coding region annotated. The record is from RefSeq and is a predicted model, not a curated record. The transcript is spliced from 12 exons. NCBI's taxonomy places the organism in Eukaryota, Metazoa, Chordata, Mammalia, Artiodactyla, Delphinidae.
CUCCGCACCUACGGGCGGCUCGCAGCUGCGUGCGGAGUCUGGGAUGAGCGUCUUGGCUGCGGCAGGCGCUGGGCGGCUGUGCGCCGUGCGCGCAGUCUUUACUUGUCUUUGGAGAGGAAAGUACUUCAGCUCCGGGAAUGAGCCGGCAGAAAACAACCCGGUGACCCCUAUGCUGCGGCAUCUUAUGUACAAAAUCAAGUCUACUGGUCCCAUCACCGUGGCCGAGUACAUGAAGGAGGUCUUGACCAACCCAGCCAAGGGCUAUUAUGUGAACCGUGACAUGCUAGGAGAAAAAGGAGAUUUCAUUACUUCACCUGAAAUAAGUCAGAUCUUUGGGGAGCUCCUAGGGAUAUGGUUAAUCAGUGAAUGGAUAGCCACUGGAAAAAAUGCAGCUUUCCAACUGGUGGAACUGGGCCCAGGCAGGGGUACCCUCUUGGGAGAUAUUUUGAGGGUGUUCAGUCAGCUUGCAUCUGUGCUGAAAAACUGUGACAUUUCAAUACAUCUGGUAGAAGUGAGCCAAAAAUUAAGUGAGAUUCAAGCAUUAACGUUGACUGAAGAGAAGGUCCUAUUAGAGCGAAAUGCUGGAUCCCCAGUAUAUAUGAAAGGUGUCACUAAGUCUGGAAUUCCAAUUUCCUGGUACCGAGAUCUGCAAGAUGUUCCAAAAGAGUACAGCUUUUAUCUUGCACAUGAAUUUUUCGAUGUUCUUCCUGUGCAUAAGUUUCAGAAAACACCACACGGAUGGCGAGAAGUACUCAUUGAUAUUGAUCCACAGGUUUCUGAUAAACUGAGAUUUGUUUUGGCGCCUUGUGCCACCCCAGCAGAAGCCUUCAUACAAUGUGAUGAAACAAGGGAUCACGUGGAAGUGUGUCCUGAUGCUGGUGUUAUUAUUCAGGAACUUUCUCAACGCAUUUCAGAAACUGGAGGUGCUGCCCUGAUUGCUGAUUAUGGUCAUGAUGGAACUAAGACAGAUACCUUCAGAGGGUUUUGUGGCCACAGGCUUCAUGAUGUCUUAAUUGCCCCGGGAACAGCAGACCUCACAGCUGACGUGGACUUCAGUUACUUGCGCAGAAUGUCCCAGGGGAAAGUAGCUUCUCUGGGUCCAAUAAAACAGCAGACAUUUUUAAGAAAUAUGGGCAUUGAUGUCCGGCUGAAGGUUCUUUUAGAUAAAUCAGAUGAGCCAUCACUGAGGCAGCAGUUACUUCAGGGCUAUGAUAUGUUAAUGAAUCCUACGAAGAUGGGAGAAAGAUUUAACUUUUUUGCCUUGAUACCUCAUCAGAGACUUCAUGGUAGAAAUCAUCAGAUGAAUGCAUGUCAGUCAAAACCCUCUCCAUCACCUGUAGCUGGGUUUGGUGAACUUGCUUGGCGGUGAUAUUUCAGUUUGGACUUUCUACUCCCAAGUUGGCCUAAGAAACUAGACUAAAGGGAACACAUUUUAUAUAUCACAGAUUGAGGAACUCAAGGCUCAGACAGAUUGUCACCUGCUGAGGCCAAUACAGAUGACAACCUACAAAGAACAACAGUUAUGCAGCAAAAUACCAGUCCAUAACAUGAAAUCCUUCCUUAUUGAAGUUAGCUCAAUAAUAAUUAAGGAUCCUCUUCCAUGUCAUCUGGAUUGGGAGCCAUAAUGAAGUGCUUUGGGUAUACAAGAUUGUGUGUAUAUGCAUGUAUUUCCCAGCGGGCAUCGUCACUUUCGUGUGUAAUAUAACGUUCACCAAUGCGAGUUUCAAAUUCUCUAAGGUCAAGCCAAGUCUGAUAGUCCUAGGGAAAAAAAAAGAUUAUGAACCAUAAAAGAAACAAUACUGUCAACCUUCUUUUUUUUUUUUUGCUCAGCACCCUAGUCAUAAAAUUGACAACCCCUACCUCCUAAAUACUUGUUAUACAAUAAGUUCAUUUGUAAUAUUUUAAGUUAGCAAUGUUAAAGAUAAAUACUUCUUCAAAUUUAGAGUCUCUCAUGAAGGAAGGAACUAGUUUCUAAAAUUAAAAAAGAAAACAUUGCCUCAGGCUUCUGAGGUGGCUAAUAAUAACCACUAAAAUAUUUUGUUGGAGAGGCCUACACCUUACUUCUCAAAAUAGGGGAAAGUGCUUAGAAUCUGUUAUCAGGAUAAUUUAAUAACUGCUGAGACUAAAUAUGAUAAUAUUUGUUUUGAAGUUAUUUCUACCCCUCAUUCCCUUUAAAAUAGUUCUGAAGCUUCUCUCUUUACUCUGAAGUUUGGGGGUAUCUUGACAAAUCUAUGCAAUAGCUUUUGGGGGGAAUUAAGCCAAA